RNAcentral lists this ribosomal RNA (502 nucleotides) under Cantharellus alborufescens. RNAcentral's name for it is "eukaryotic LSU rRNA". It matches the Rfam family "Eukaryotic large subunit ribosomal RNA", at positions 104 to 657 of the family's 3401-position model. The record is from RNAcentral. Lineage: Eukaryota; Fungi; Basidiomycota; Agaricomycetes; Cantharellales; Hydnaceae.
AGAGCUCAUCAUUGGAAUCUGGCGGUGUUGCACCGUCCGAGUUGUAGAUGAGGAGUGGUUCAUCUGGACUGCAUGGCGUCCAAGUACAAUAGGCCGUCAGUGGGACAUCAUAGAGGGUGACAAUCCCGUCCUUGAUGCCAAUGUGCAAGUCCAUUACGAUGGCCAUCUCAGAGAGUCGAGCAGUUUGGGAUUUGCUGCUUAAACAUGGGAGGUAGAUUCCUUCUAAAGCUAAAUACAGGCRAGAGACCGAUAGAGAACAAGUACCGCAAGGGAAAGAUGAAAUAGCACUCUGUGAAGGGAGUCAAAAGGCGUGAAAUUGUUGCGAGAGAAGCGAUUCAAGUCAGCGUAGCUAGGCCCAUUAAGCCUCUUUGCGCUUUGGACUAGCUUUGCCAGCGGUCUUGUCCUUAGAGACUUGACUUGUAUGUCCAGCCUGGUAUGCACAGGUAGCCCUCCGGGGUCAGUGACAUGGCUGGUGGAAUGGCUUGCAAUCGACCCGUCUUGA